Molecule: ribosomal RNA, 497 nt
Filed under: uncultured bacterium
Lineage: Bacteria
Description: partial 16S ribosomal RNA
Rfam family: Bacterial small subunit ribosomal RNA
Source: RNAcentral
GACGAACGCUGGCGGCGUGCCUAAUACAUGCAAGUUGAGCGCUGAAGGUUGGUACUUGUACCAACUGGAUGAGCAGCGAACGGGUGAGUAACGCGUGGGGAAUCUGCCUUUGAGCGGGGGACAACAUUUGGAAACGAAUGCUAAUACCGCAUAAAAACUUUAAACACAAGUUUUAAGUUUGAAAGAUGCAAUUGCAUCACUCAAAGAUGAUCCCGCGUUGUAUUAGCUAGUUGGUGAGGUAAAGGCUCACCAAGGCGAAGAUACAUAGCCGGCCUGAGAGGGUGAUCGGCCCCAUUGGGACUGAGACACGGCCCAAACUCCUACGGGAGGCAGCAGUAGGGAAUCUUCGGCAAUGGACGAAAGUCUGACCGAGCAACGCCGCGUGAGUGAAGAAGGUUUUCGGAUCGUAAAACUCUGUUGGUAGAGGAGAACGUUGGUGAGAGUGGAAAGCUCAUCAAGUGACGGUAACUACCCAGAAAGGGACGGCUAACUACGUG